CAGCCGCGGUAAUACGUAGGGUGCAAGCGUUAUCCGGAAUUAUUGGGCGUAAAGAGCUCGUAGGCGGUUUGUCACGUCUGCUGUGAAAACUGGAGGCUCAACCUCCAGCCUGCAGUGGGUACGGGCAGACUAGAGUGCGGUAGGGGAGAUUGGAAUUCCUGGUGUAGCGGUGGAAUGCGCAGAUAUCAGGAGGAACACCGAUGGCGAAGGCAGAUCUCUGGGCCGUAACUGACGCUGAUGGACGAAAGCGUAGGUAGCGAAC
RNAcentral lists this ribosomal RNA (262 nucleotides) under uncultured bacterium. Its description in RNAcentral is "partial 16S ribosomal RNA". It matches the Rfam family "Bacterial small subunit ribosomal RNA", at positions 512 to 773 of the family's 1533-position model. The record is from RNAcentral.